This 253-nucleotide ribosomal RNA is filed under the name uncultured bacterium. RNAcentral describes it as "partial 16S ribosomal RNA". It matches the Rfam family "Bacterial small subunit ribosomal RNA", at positions 524 to 776 of the family's 1533-position model. The record is from RNAcentral.
UACGUAGGGGGCAAGCGUUAUCCGGAAUUACUGGGUGUAAAGGGUGAGUAGGCGGUUAAAUAAGCCAUAUGUGAACGUCUGUAGCUCAACUAUAGAAUUGCAUAAGGAACUGUGUAACUAGAGUGCAGGAGAGGUAAGUGGAAUUCCUAGUGUAGCGGUGAAAUGCGUAGAUAUUAGGAGGAACACCAGUGGCGAAGGCGACUUACUGGACUGAAACUGACGCUGAGUCACGAAAGCGUGGGGAGCAAACAGG